UGGGGAAUAUUGGACAAUGGGGGAAACCCUGAUCCAGCAAUGCCGCGUGUGUGAAGAAGGCCUGCGGGUUGUAAAGCACUUUCGGUUGGGAGGACUGCUUCUAGCACUAAUAUUGUUGGAAGUUGACGUUACCUUCAGAAGAAGCACCGGCUAACUCC
RNAcentral lists this ribosomal RNA (158 nucleotides) under uncultured bacterium. RNAcentral's name for it is "partial 16S ribosomal RNA". It matches the Rfam family "Bacterial small subunit ribosomal RNA", at positions 355 to 504 of the family's 1533-position model. The record is from RNAcentral.